This is a non-coding RNA of Dipodomys ordii (Ord's kangaroo rat), 70 nucleotides long. The record is from Rfam. NCBI's taxonomy places the organism in Eukaryota, Metazoa, Chordata, Mammalia, Rodentia, Heteromyidae.
GCUUCUGUGGCUCAGUGGUAGAGUGCUUGCCUUGCGAACAUGAAGCCCUGGGUUCGAUUCCUCAGUACCA